Molecule: non-coding RNA, 85 nt
Organism: Arabidopsis thaliana (thale cress)
Lineage: Eukaryota; Viridiplantae; Streptophyta; Magnoliopsida; Brassicales; Brassicaceae
Source: RefSeq
GAUCGAAGAACAUCAAAUUAGAAUGUGAUGCAAAACUUAGACUCCUAACAUUUGCAACACAAUCUAAUUUGGUGUUUCUUCGAUC